CUCUUGGCGGUGGUUGCUGGCGGCUGCCUCCAUCUCGGCCGCCUUCGCCUGGCGCGCGCUCCGCCGCCGCAGCGGCAGACGAGUCCGGCCUCGGGCUGAUCCUCAGCCUCUUCUCCUCCGCCGCCUCCACCUCAGCGGUCGUCCUCGCCCACGAUGGCGGUGUCUGCCAGCACAACGCCGUCGGGGUCGGGGAUGGGUUGUCCUCGUCCCCGUGGCGGCGCUUCGGGCGCCUCCCUGCAGCAUCCUGUUUCCUGUGGCGGGGUGCGAUGCUACUGCGCGCGCGGCAUCGUGGGUCCCACGAGAAUCUAGGCCAUCUCGUAGGCGUGCCAUGGCCUUGGCCUCGCGCCGCACAUCCCUGCUUCCUCCAAUGCGGUCGCCACCGCCGCCGCAUGGGGAUUCUUCUUCUUGCUGUGGCCACGUGGACCAUGGUGGAGGGAGGCUCCGGCAGAGCGAGGCAGCGAGCACGCUGGGCCUGGGGCGAAGCUGGAGAGGUGGCUCUGGGUCCGCUCGCUCC
RNAcentral lists this unclassified non-coding RNA (514 nucleotides) under Zea mays. RNAcentral's name for it is "misc RNA Zm00001eb280230". Lineage: Eukaryota; Viridiplantae; Streptophyta; Magnoliopsida; Poales; Poaceae. The record is from RNAcentral.